Molecule: ribosomal RNA, 277 nt
Filed under: Clostridioides difficile
Lineage: Bacteria; Bacillati; Bacillota; Clostridia; Peptostreptococcales; Peptostreptococcaceae
Description: partial 16S ribosomal RNA
Rfam family: Bacterial small subunit ribosomal RNA
Source: RNAcentral
AUUUGAGAGGCAUCUCUUGAAUAUCAAAGGUGAGCCAGUACAGGAUGGACCCGCGUCUGAUUAGCUAGUUGGUAAGGUAACGGCUUACCAAGGCGACGAUCAGUAGCCGACCUGAGAGGGGGAUCGGCCACAUUGGAACUGAGACACGGUCCAAACUCCUACGGGAGGCAGCAGUGGGGAAUAUUGCACAAUGGGCGAAAGCCUGAUGCAGCAACGCCGCGUGAGUGAUGAAGGCCUUCGGGUCGUAAAACUCUGUCCUCAAGGAAGAUAAUGACGG